Amphiprion ocellaris (clown anemonefish) is the source of this 366-nucleotide long non-coding RNA. NCBI's taxonomy places the organism in Eukaryota, Metazoa, Chordata, Actinopteri, Pomacentridae. The record is from Ensembl.
UGACACCAGGUCUAAGCCGACAAACUUCCAAUUCCUCCUCAACCCAUAGUCUCUGGGAAACCUACAUGGAACAGGGUCAACAUAUGGUCGAAAGAUGAUGACCGGGUACCUGUCUGCAAUGGGAGUGGUUGCUGGUGAAUGCCGGAUAGGGAGGAUUUUGAGAACAACGCAUUGUCCUUAUCACGAAAUGCGCAAACGUGCAAAGGAACACCCACUUGUUUAGCAGCAGGAGGACGUCCAAAGAAACUGGGAGAGGAGUUGUUGCCUCAUGCCUUCCAAGCAGCAGACCUGUACCAGCAGGAUGCUGGCUCUUCACUAACUCCAGUCUCCUGCUUUGGAACUGACCCAUUCUCAACUGAGGAGGAC